UCGAAGCGCAGUGCCGGACAUGCAUUUUGACUUUGCUACAGCUGCUUCUUUACUCCGUAAUUUUUAUAUCAUCUCUAAAAAAAAUAAUAAUUUCGCUCGCAGUACGCUACACUAUUCUUUUUCACUCUUCUUGGAACGACAAGUAUUGUGCGAGGUGUUUAUUAUCGAUUACCGUGUGCUCCUUUCCAUGAGAUUUAACUACAUAGCAAACAGUUGAACGUUCACCGUUCAUCAGUGUCAAUUCACUGUUCUCGAAACAUUGUGGUUUCUAGACAAGACGCUGCGUCCUCUUGCCUUAAAUUUUUUCCAUCAGUGUGUCUCGUCCUACCAAUCCAAUAGAGAAAUCCUGGGGACUACACUGCGUCAGCUUUCACUAGAGUGCAGACCACUCAGGAUCUCAACACAACAGCUCCACAUUAGCCUGGCAAGAACCACACAAUAUUUUCUAUGGAAAUCAGGGACAACAUGGAGGGUCACAUGCAGCUAAAUAUAAUGGUCCUAUUACAAGUAUGUGAAAACAUUGGAGAACAUGUGUGACUGCACAUUAUAUUACACUUACCUUGGCGAGUCCAAGUUCAUCUUCCGUUGCCGAUCGAGCUGUGGAUGGCUCUUCACAACACCAGACACCCUUGACUGAAUACGACAUCAGCUGCACCAUCCAUUGCCUCCGCUACUCAUUUAUAACAAAUAGAACAUACUCUUUCUGUCCGUCACAGCCCUUUGUAACAAUUUACGUAUCAAGUAUUUUGAUAACUAAAGGGGAACUGUAUACACGUUGAUAAAACAUAUCUGAAUUCCACUCUCUGCGUCUUGAAACAAAUGUCCAAACAACAGUCUAAACAACAUUGUAGCUGAGUAAAGUUUAGUGCACGUUCUAACCUCAGAUCAAGUGAUGUGUAAAGCAAAACUGUAACUUCAGGUAUCAAUUAUUACCAAGCUGAUAUUUCAGCAUUGAACUUUGAUUAUUUCGAAAGACUGUAUGAAAUUAAUUUACUGAAACUGCAAUAAUGUAAAUAUUGAAUAUGAAAAUUAAAUUAUGACAAAUAUCAACGAAAUUCAUGCUAUGUAAAUUGCAUUGUAAGUAAAUGUGAGGUUGAAUGCCGUAUUAUGAGGUUUCCCUGCCUAGAUGGGAAGGCAUGUAAUUAAAUUGUCCUACAAUAAAAGAUAGCACUCUGCCUCACGAA
Schistocerca serialis cubense is the source of this 1184-nucleotide long non-coding RNA. RefSeq lists it as uncharacterized. NCBI's taxonomy places the organism in Eukaryota, Metazoa, Arthropoda, Insecta, Orthoptera, Acrididae. The transcript has 3 exons. The record is from RefSeq and is a predicted model, not a curated record.